This 433-nucleotide ribosomal RNA is filed under the name uncultured bacterium. RNAcentral describes it as "partial 16S ribosomal RNA". It matches the Rfam family "Bacterial small subunit ribosomal RNA", at positions 29 to 507 of the family's 1533-position model. The record is from RNAcentral.
AACGAACGCUGGCGGCAUGCCUAACACAUGCAAGUCGAACGAGACCUUCGGGUCUAGUGGCGCACGGGUGCGUAACGCGUGGGAAUCUACCCUCAGGUUCGGAAUAACUCAGAGAAAUUUGUGCUAAUACCGGAUGAUGACGUAAGUCCAAAGAUUUAUCGCCUGAGGAUGAGCCCGCGUAGGAUUAGGUAGUUGGUGAGGUAAAGGCUCACCAAGCCGACGAUCCUUAGCUGGUCUGAGAGGAUGAUCAGCCACACUGGGACUGAGACACGGCCCAGACUCCUACGGGAGGCAGCAGUGGGGAAUAUUGGACAAUGGGCGAAAGCCUGAUCCAGCAAUGCCGCGUGAGUGAUGAAGGCCUUAGGGUUGUAAAGCUCUUUUACCCGGGAUGAUAAUGACAGUACCGGGAGAAUAAGCUCCGGCUAACUCCGUG